CGGGUGAGUAACACGUGGGUGAUCUGCCCUGCACUUCGGGAUAAGCCUGGGAAACUGGGUCUAAUACCGGAUAUGACUACGGGAUGCAUGUCUUGUGGUGGAAAGCUUUUGCGGUGUGGGAUGGGCCCGCGGCCUAUCAGCUUGUUGGUGGGGUUAAGGCCUACCAAGGCGACGACGGGUAGCCGGCCUGAGAGGGCACACGGCCACACUGGCACUGAAACACGGGCCAG
RNAcentral lists this ribosomal RNA (230 nucleotides) under uncultured bacterium. RNAcentral's name for it is "partial 16S ribosomal RNA". It matches the Rfam family "Bacterial small subunit ribosomal RNA", at positions 103 to 334 of the family's 1533-position model. The record is from RNAcentral.